GAUGAACGCUAGCGGCAGGCCUAAUACAUGCAAGCCGAACGGCAAGCUUUGUAGCAAUACAGAGCCUAGAGUGGCGUAAGGGUGCGUAACACGUAUGGAAUCUGCCCUCAACAGGAGGAUAGCUCCCCGAAAGGGGAAUUAACACUCCAUAGGAUAUAGGUGUGGCAUCACAUUUAUAUUAAACCGCAAGGGGUUGAGGAUGAGCAUGCGCAUGAUUAGUUAGUUGCCGGGGUAACGGCCCACCAAGACGAUGAUCAUUAGGGGAACUGAGAGGUUGAUCCCCCACACUGGCACUGAGAUACGGGCCAGACUCCUACGGGAGGCAGCAGUAGGGAAUAUUGGACAAUGGGCGAGAGCCUGAUCCAGCCAUGCCGCGUGCAGGAAGAAAGCCUUCUGGGUUGUAAACUGUCUUUUACCGGGGGAUAAAUAGUCUUGCGAGACGAAUUGAAGGUACCUGGUGAAUAAGCCACGGCUAACUACGUGCC
Molecule: ribosomal RNA, 485 nt
Filed under: uncultured bacterium
Lineage: Bacteria
Description: bacterial SSU rRNA
Rfam family: Bacterial small subunit ribosomal RNA
Source: RNAcentral